UCCCAUCUCUAGAUCAGCCUUUAUUGUGCAGCGUCAGUCCACUCCAAAAUAGCCCAAACCGUUUCCUUAUUUUCUUUUGGUCAUCCCAGCCCAACAGCCUUUUCCCAGCCCUCUCUCCUCAAUCCCAACCCAACCCCUUUUCCUUCACGCCUGUCCUUCGAACCCCUACGCGCUUCACGCGAGAAUGCGCGAGAGCGAGUUUACAUCAAGGAAACGACGUUUCGCUAGACGACAGCCAUAACAGCUCCGAGCGGUACUCUCUCCCAUUAAAAUACACGGAAGAAUAGGCGUGUUUGCUUUUCCGUAUUUUCGCUUUUUUUUAGUACUGCCACAGCAACGCUGCAAGACGCUUUCCCCUCUUUGAAGCUUGGAUAUUGCUCCACGUCAAACAUCAAGGACGCCCUCUCAAUCAAAGCCCUCCAUCUUUGUCCUCUCACCCUAAUUUCGCGGGAUUUGCUGUGAUUCCGCCUCAAGACCCAGCUGUCCUCCGUACUCGAAAAGGAGUUUUGAAUUUCAGAUUUGAAGUGGUAAGUCCGUUUUACCCCAAAACCUUUUGAGAAUUCCCCCGCCAUCCCCUGAUACGGAGCCUAUUUUCCCCCCUAUAAAUACCCCUCUUCUUCAUUCGUUUGGGGAGCAUUUUUUUUGGAGAGUUUCUGUGAUUUUUUUGGCUUGGAAUUUUCCGAACGUUUUUCCUAGUCAUAAGAUAUUGGGAGGAACAAAAGAUACAGAAUAAGAGAAUACUAAAACAGUAAGGUUGCAAGAUAUAAGGAGCGCAGGGACUCGUCGAAACCAUUAUUUUAUCUUUGUUUGGAAUCAGUCUUCCCUCCAAGUUGUCAAAGUCUAAGAUUCCGUUUGGUUGUUCUGUUUUCGAGCCUCUUUGGUUUGGCGGAGGUCACUGCUCACCAUCUCCAGUUCGCUGCCCUUUGAAGUGAGUUCGUUAAGAACUCGUUUUAUCCCUUGCAUUUCCGGAGAGCCAUGAAGGCUCAACUCCCUUCUAUCGAGUCAAUCCCAUCAAAAUCGACGGACAAGUCAAAAAGUUGGAAGAUUGAAGAAAUUGAAGAACUUGGGCGGAAGAAUUUCAAACAGAGAAUUGAAGCAGUAAAGUUAGAAGAUGGUGAAGAAAUUAGCGAAGAAAUUGCCACAAAUGCUUUGCGCACAUCUGUUAAUUUCUUCUCAGCUUUAAAGGCUACUGAUGGCCAUUGGCCUGCUGAAAAUGCCGGUCCUCUCUUCUUUCUUCCACCUCUCGUUAUGUGUUUGUAUAUAUCUGGGCAUCUUAUUUUUACCAGCUGAACAUCGUAAGGAAAUUCUCGCUAUAUAUAUUGUCACCAGUUAUAUGACGUAAUGUAACAAUGACUAUACUAUUCUAUCAAAAUUAAAUUUGCAUAUUUUUGAAUAAUUUAACUUACCUACAAUGAGAUGUGUUUAAAUUAAACUUUUUAGCUGGUUAUAGAUGCAUCUUAAUGUCAUCAUCUUAAGAUACCAUACACAGUGUACAACUCGUGGUGGAGUUACAAAUUUUAUUUAUGAUACUAAAA
This is a long non-coding RNA of Solanum pennellii, 1535 nucleotides long. RefSeq lists it as uncharacterized. Lineage: Eukaryota; Viridiplantae; Streptophyta; Magnoliopsida; Solanales; Solanaceae. The record is from RefSeq and is a predicted model, not a curated record. The transcript has 4 exons.